AGAGUUUGAUCCUGGCUCAGAACGAACGCUGGCGGCGUGCUUAAGACAUGCAAGUCGAACGGUAAGGCCGACUACCUUCGGGUAGUUGGUACACGAGUGGCGCACGGGUGAGUAACGCGUGGGUAAUCUGCCUUCGGGUUUGGGACAACUCCGGGAAACUGGAGCUAAUACCAAAUAAGACCACGAGGUCCUCGGACCUUGCGGAAAAAGGUGGCCUCUUCUUGAAAGCUAUCGCCGGUUGAUGAGCCCGCGUCCCAUUAGCUUGUUGGUGAGGUAAAAGCUCACCAAGGCAUCGAUGGGUAGCUGGUCUGAGAGGAUGAUCAGCCACACUGGAACUGAGACACGGUCCAGACUCCUACGGGAGGCAGCAGUCGGGAAUCUUGCACAAUGGGCGAAAGCCUGAUGCAGCAACGCCGCGUGAGGGAUGAAGGCCCUCGGGUCGUAAACCUCUGUCGGAAGGGAAGAAAGUAUUCCGGGCCAAUACCCCGGAGUAUCGACGGUACCUUCAAAGGAAGCGCCGGCUAACUCCGUGCCAGCAGCCGCGGUAAUACGGAGGGCGCGAGCGUUAUUCGGAAUCAUUGGGCGUAAAGCGUGUGUAGGCGGCUGGGCAAGUCGGAUGUGAAAGCCCGGGGCUCAACCCCGGAAUUGCAUUCGAAACUGCCCAGCUAGAGUCUCGGAGAGGAGGGCGGAAUUCCCGGGUGUAGAGGUGAAAUUCGUAGAUAUC
Molecule: ribosomal RNA, 724 nt
Filed under: uncultured bacterium
Lineage: Bacteria
Description: bacterial SSU rRNA
Rfam family: Bacterial small subunit ribosomal RNA
Source: RNAcentral